Non-coding RNA from Paramuricea clavata, 513 nucleotides. Lineage: Eukaryota; Metazoa; Cnidaria; Anthozoa; Malacalcyonacea; Plexauridae. The record is from the annotation of a GenBank genome assembly.
UACGAAUUUUAUUAAAUACAGAAAUAUACAGCUUAACUCUACGCAUGGAAACAUUGACUAAUUGUAUACAUUUACUGCAAUUUCUGAAGAGAAACGUUCAAAUAUUUGUUAUAUUACAACGUUGCACAUGCAACAAUAGGGACGUGUUUAAAUAAAAAGCAUUAAAAUUAUACUGUCUUAUGUAGUUAGCUUUUUUAGUUGGUUAAUUUUACUCGUUUUGUAAAAGUUUGCAAAUAUUCUGAAAUUCGCUUCCAGUCUUUUACGCAAGUGCGCGGUUGUCGCCAUCGUUGCCUGGUAACGUGACCAACUAGUCCCAGUUCUUUUUGUGGUGUCGGUGUUUGCGGAAGAUUUUUGAUCGUUUCAAAAUCGUCUCCUCCAUUUCUUGAUUGGAAGACUUACCGGCGCUGUUAUCUCGCUCUUUGUCGUCUAUGACGAGAGAAAAAACCCUUAGGAUUCUAGGGUAUCGUAAAAUCGUAAAAAUUUAUUUCAAGACGCUAGCCUCAUGAAUAUAAG